UUCACAGUACUUUAUGCUUAGUAAGGGCUCCAUGGUGUCUGUGAGUUGAAUGUUGUGUUCAUAGUAUCUGUCAAAACAGAGAGAAAAAAACAAAAUCUGAUGAUGGGAAGUUAAAGCUUUGUAUAUAAUAUGCCUUGAAUUGUAAGUGCCUGUUGUUAGUUGUAUUACAUAUAGGUCAUGGUUUUGUACACAUAACUCCAAACCAUUGAUACUGUUAAAAGAAUAUAUGAAUUUAUGAAAGAAUGUAUAAACAUAAGAAUGUAUGGGUAUAUAAUGUCCUUUCCAAAUCAAUUUUUAUUUUUAGCUCUGUUAGAUUUUUCUCAGUGUAGCAAAUGUUUAUUCCUAUGUAAUUAAGGACAUAUUUUAUAUAUGUACAGAAAUAUUCUGUAUUUUCUGUACAGAAUAUUCAUAUUACCUAAUUGAAAAUUAUAUAUUACAAAAAUACAAUACUAUUUUUAGGCCAGGCAUGGUGGCUCAUACCUGUAAUCCC
RNAcentral lists this long non-coding RNA (490 nucleotides) under Pongo abelii (Sumatran orangutan). Its description in RNAcentral is "lincRNA". The record is from RNAcentral. Lineage: Eukaryota; Metazoa; Chordata; Mammalia; Primates; Hominidae.